Molecule: ribosomal RNA, 2748 nt
Filed under: Triticum aestivum (bread wheat)
Lineage: Eukaryota; Viridiplantae; Streptophyta; Magnoliopsida; Poales; Poaceae
Description: partial small subunit ribosomal RNA
Source: RNAcentral
AUGGCGAGCAGCUUCAGUUGCUCGGAACGUACGAAACUGACAUGGAUGUUGGCGCUGCUGCUCAUCUUGGUCAUGAUGCUUCGAGUCGAUGGCCAAUCUGGGUUCCUAAGCGUCGACUGUGGAUGGACAGGCAGUGCAGGUAGCACCUACAACGACAGCGCCACAGGACUACCGUAUGAUUCUGACGGAAAAUUUAUGGAAGGCGGUUUGAGCUCCAAAAUUUCUGCAGAGUUCAUUGCUGAUGCAGGGAACGAGCAACAAAAAACGCUGAGGAGCUUCCCUGACGGCAAACGGAACUGCUAUACGCUGCCAUCCGCCAUCGGUAAGAAGUUUCUGCUGAGGGCCAUGUUCAGUUACGGAAACUAUGAUGGGUUGAACAGGAGUAUGGACGGCUCGCCGUUCAUAUUUGGGCUGCAUAUCGGCGUCAAUUUCUGGGAGACAGUGAACUUGACAAAUUUAGAUCCAUCGCUCACAUUAUGGAAAGAGGUGCUCACCAUGGCUCCGGCCAACCUCCUGUCGUUCUGUCUGAUAAACUUGGGUUCAGGGACUCCGUUCGUGUCUUCAUUGGAGCUGAGGCCACUAGGAGAUGCAAUGUACCCUUUUCUGAGUACUUAUGUGUCUGUCAGCUACUUGAGACGGUUCAGAUUUGGGGACGCCGCUGAGUAUAUCACAAGAUAUCCAGUGGACAAUUACGACCGGUUCUGGGCGGGUUGGUCUUUCUCUUUCAACACCUACCCCUGGAUCAGCCUGAACACUAGCAAACCAGUGAACAGGCUCAACAGCAUUGACGUCUUCCAAGUACCGGAGGUCAUCCUCCAGAAAGCCACGACCCUGGAUACAAACUACUCCUUUAUGGAAGUUAGCGUGGAAGUCGGUAGCAACCUGGACAUCAGGGGCAUGGAGCUUCUCCCGAUAUUCCAUUUCACUGAGAUAGCUGGCGACAUCCCAAACAGGACGUUCAAUGUCUACAGCGCAGACGAGUUGCUGUUCCAGGACGUGUCCCUGUCGCCGAUGCGGGUAGAGAGCAUGUACCCGACGAAUCGGUUCUUGACGAAUCGGUUCCUGAGCGGGUCCAACACUACGUCCUUCAUGCUGCGCAAGGUCCCCGGCUCGAAGCUCCCGCCGCUCAUCAAUGCGCUUGAGGUGUACUCGAUUGUUCGGACGGACAACCUCACCACUUCCUCCGAGGACGUCAAUUACAUGAAAGAGGUGAAAAAACACUACAAUUUGGGAAGAAACUGGAAUGGAGAUCCAUGCUCCCCAAGAGAGUAUACCUGGGAAGGUUUGACUUGCGACUAUUCGAAUGGCAACCAGAAUCCGAGGAUUGUCCGAGUAAAUAUGUCUACGAGCAAACUAAGAGGUGUAUUAGCUAUAUCAUUCUUCAUGAUGGCAUCACUGGAAAAUUUGGAUUUAUCUCACAACAACUUGACGGGCACUAUUCCAAACUAUGAACUAAAGUCACUAAAAGUCCUCAAUUUGUCUUAUAACCAGCUUGACGGACCAAUCCCUAAUUCCAUUGUUCAAAGAUUUCAGGCCGGCCUACUUGACUUAAGACUAGAAGGCAAUCCCAUUUGCUCAAAAGGAAAAUACAUGUAUUGUUCAAAUACGAAGAACUCCAAACAUGUCAUGCUCACUGCAGUCAUAGUUCCAGUGGUAUUGGUAUCACUCCUAGUUGUGUUGGGCGUAUUAUGGAAGGUAUGCCAAAAAGGGAACUCAGGAGAUCAUGAGGACUAUGAUAUUUAUGAAGAGGAAACACCCCUACAUAUUGAUAUCAGACGGUUCACUUAUGUAGAGUUGAAGUUCAUCACUAAGGACUUCCAAUCAAUCAUUGGAAAAGGAGGUUUUGGUACUGUUUAUCAUGGCAUACUGGAAAAUGGCGAUGAAGUAGCUGUUAAGGUGCUUAUGGAGACAUCAAUAGCAGAGUCAACAGACUUCCUCCCAGAGGUGCAAACCUUGUCCAAAGUUCAUCACAAGAAUCUCGUGACUUUGGCAGGAUAUUGCCAAAACAAGAAGUGCCUAGCACUCGUUUAUGACUUCAUGCCUAGAGGAAAUCUUCAACAAAUCUUAAGAGGAGGAGAUGACUAUACCUUGAAUUGGGAACAACGACUUUACAUUGCACUUGAUGCUGCACAAGGAUUGGAGUAUUUACACGAGUCAUGCACCCCAUCAGUAGUUCACAGAGAUGUGAAGACCCCCAACAUCCUUCUAGAUAAGAAUCUGGUUGGGAUAAUAUCUGACUUUGGUCUUUCAAGGGCAUUUAAUGAUGCUCACACACACAUAUCUACUGUUGCUGCUGGCACUCUUGGCUACCUCGACCCAGAGUACCAUGCAACUUUCCAGCUCACAGUCAAGACAGACGUUUAUAGUUUUGGCAUCGUACUCUUGGAGAUCAUCACUGGCCAACCCCCGGUAUUGGUGAACCCUCAAACCAUCCAUCUACCAAACUGGAUUCGUCAAAAGAUUGCUACAGGUAGUAUUCACGAUGUUGUCGACAAGAGGUUAUUGGAUCAAUAUGAUGCUAGUUCCCUGCAGAGUGUGGUAGACCUUGCCAUGAUGUGUGUCGAAAACGCAACCAUCGACAGACCGACAAUGAUUGAGGUUGUUUCAAGGCUCAAAGCAUGCUUGCCGGAAGUUCCAAGGCUAUUGCAACCAACGAUUUCAGGAGUUCCGCCAAUAAGCAGUGAGGGGGAUUUCCAGUUUGAUUAUACCGGUCGGAUGUCAAACACAAGCCUCUUAUCUGGCAGGUGA